This 474-nucleotide ribosomal RNA is filed under the name uncultured bacterium. RNAcentral describes it as "partial 16S ribosomal RNA". The stretch from base 20 to 302 matches the Rfam family "Bacterial small subunit ribosomal RNA", at positions 47 to 358 of the family's 1533-position model. The record is from RNAcentral.
AGCGAACGCUGGCGGCAUGCCUAACACAUGCAAGUCGAACGAGACCUUCGGGUCUAGUGGCGCACGGGUGCGUAACGCGUGGGAACCUGCCCUUAGGUUCGGAAUAACUCCCCGAAAGGGGUGCUAAUACCGGAUAAUGUCUUCGGACCAAAGAUUUAUCGCCUUUGGAUGGGCCCGCGUUGGAUUAGCUAGUUGGUAGGGUAAAAGCCUACCAAGGCGACGAUCCAUAGCUGGUCUGAGAGGAUGAUCAGCCACACUGGGACUGAGACACGGCCCAGACGCAGGGGGGAGGGAGGAGUGGGAAGUAGGGGAGAGUGGGAGAAGGGGCGAUCGAGAGAUGACGAGUUGGGGAUGAGGGCCUGAGUGUUGGAGAUCGCUUUGAAGGGGGAAGAAAAUGAUAGGCGGGGGAGAAUAAGCUACGGAUAACGGAGGGGCAGCGCCCGGGGUAAUAGGGGUAGGAGCACGCGUGUGAAC